AAUAAGUGCAGUUUUGUAUUAUUCACGUUCAACGUUUGACCGUUCGUCUUAUUUAAAAAUUUUAUAUGAUUAGUAAUUUUUAUUGCUAUUAGAUGAUAAAACAUGAAUAGUACUUUAUGUGUGAUUAAAUAUUUUUAAAUUUUUCGCAAAUUUUUUAAAUAAGACGGAUGGUCAAAUGUUGGGCACGGAUAUCCACGGCUGCACUUAUU
This is a non-coding RNA of Oryza barthii, 209 nucleotides long. Lineage: Eukaryota; Viridiplantae; Streptophyta; Magnoliopsida; Poales; Poaceae. The record is from Rfam.